RNAcentral lists this ribosomal RNA (369 nucleotides) under Triticum aestivum (bread wheat). Its description in RNAcentral is "partial small subunit ribosomal RNA". Lineage: Eukaryota; Viridiplantae; Streptophyta; Magnoliopsida; Poales; Poaceae. The record is from RNAcentral.
AUGGCGACUGCGGUGUUCAUCCUCAACAGAUCGUACACCCGCAGCAUCGAUGGUAAGACUCCGUACGAGUUGUGGCACGACAAGAAGCCCGUCGUGCACUACCUGCGUGUCUUCGGGUGCAUGGCCUACGUCAAGAACACGCGGCCCGGGCUGAAGAAGCUCGACGGUCGCAACACGAAGAUGGUCUUCAUCGGCUAUGAGGCGGGCUCGAAGGCGUACAGGGUGUACGAUCCACUGACCAAGCGCGUGUACGCGUCGCGCGGCGUGGUGUUUGACGAGGGCGUGAGCUGGGAUUGGGCCGCCACCGACGUGCCCACAGCAGAGCCGCUCGUCGUCCACCAUGAGCUCCCGCUCACCACUGAGGUAUAG